This 253-nucleotide ribosomal RNA is filed under the name uncultured bacterium. RNAcentral's name for it is "partial 16S ribosomal RNA". It matches the Rfam family "Bacterial small subunit ribosomal RNA", at positions 524 to 776 of the family's 1533-position model. The record is from RNAcentral.
UACGAAGGGGGCUAGCGUUGUUCGGAAUUACUGGGCGUAAAGCGCAUGUAGGCGGAUUGUUAAGUCGGGGGUGAAAUCCCAGGGCCCAACCCUGGAACUGCCUUCGAUACUGAUGAUCUCGAGUGUGGAAGAGGUUGGUGGAACUGCGAGUGUAGAGGUGAAAUUCGUAGAUAUUCGCAAGAACACCAGUGGCGAAGGCGGCCAACUGGUCCAUUACUGACGCUGAGAUGCGAAAGCGUGGGGAGCAAACAGG